CCUCAAUGAAGAGUUGCAGGCUGGUUGAGUAUCUCGCCCUCAAUCUCGCUAUUACCCAUGUCUUUUCGUACUACUACUUAUUUCCUCGGCAGGUCCAGCCUGCCGGUGAUGAACCACAUUCAAACCAUGUUUCAUUUUCAAUCAGCGUCUGAAAAACUUAAUAAUUA
Molecule: unclassified non-coding RNA, 167 nt
Filed under: soil metagenome
Description: partial internal transcribed spacer 1
Source: RNAcentral